CCUACGGGUGGCAGCAGUUAGGAAUAUUGGUCAAUUGUCGUCCGCCUGCCCCCGCCCCGUCGCGUGCCGGAUGACGGCCCUACGGGUUGUAAACUGCUUUUAUACGGGAAUAACGCGCCUUACGUGUAGGGCUUUGCAUGUACCGUAUGAAUAAGGACCGGCUAAUUCCGUGCCAGCAGCCGCGGUAAUACGGAAGGUCCGGGCGUUAUCCGGAUUUAUUGGGUUUAAAGGGAGCGUAGGCCGCAUGUCAAGCGUGCUGUGAAAUGUCCGGGCUCAACCCGGGCCUUGCAGCGCGAACUGGCGUGCUUGAGUCCGCGGAAGGCAGGCGGAAUUCGUCGUGUAGCGGUGAAAUGCUUAGAUAUGACGAAGAACCCCGAUUGCGAAGGCAGCUUGCUGCAGCGGAACUGACGCUGAUGCUCGAAAGCGCGGGUAUCGAACAGGAUUAGAUACCCGAGUAGUC
RNAcentral lists this ribosomal RNA (460 nucleotides) under uncultured bacterium. RNAcentral describes it as "partial 16S ribosomal RNA". It matches the Rfam family "Bacterial small subunit ribosomal RNA", at positions 338 to 795 of the family's 1533-position model. The record is from RNAcentral.